CUUCUUAGAGGGACUAUGGCCGU
Molecule: non-coding RNA, 23 nt
Filed under: Arabidopsis thaliana (thale cress)
Lineage: Eukaryota; Viridiplantae; Streptophyta; Magnoliopsida; Brassicales; Brassicaceae
Source: RNAcentral